GAUGAACGCUAGCGGCAGGCUUAACACAUGCAAGUCGAGGGGCAGCACGGGUAGCAAUACUUGGUGGCGACCGGCGCAAGGGUGCGUAACGCGUGAGCAACAUGCCCGUAUCAGGGGGAUAAUCCAUGGAAACGUGGUCUAAUACCCCAUAGUAAGUUUUUGGGGCAUCUCAAAGAUUUUAAAGCUUUGGUGGAUACGGAUUGGCUCGCGUGACAUUAGCUAGAUGGUAAGGUAACGGCUUACCAUGGCUACGAUGUCUAGGGGUUCUGAGAGGAAGGUCCCCCACACUGGAACUGAGACACGGUCCAGACUCCUACGGGAGGCAGCAGUGAGGAAUAUUGGACAAUGGAUGGAAAUCUGAUCCAGCCAUGCCGCGUGCAGGAAGACGGCCCUAUGGGUUGUAAACUGCUUUUGUAUGGGAGCAAUAAGGGCUACGUGUAGUCCGAUGAGAGUACCAUACGAAUAAGCACCGGCUAACUCCGUG
RNAcentral lists this ribosomal RNA (484 nucleotides) under uncultured organism. RNAcentral describes it as "bacterial SSU rRNA". It matches the Rfam family "Bacterial small subunit ribosomal RNA", at positions 28 to 507 of the family's 1533-position model. The record is from RNAcentral.